This 1397-nucleotide long non-coding RNA is filed under the name Bos indicus x Bos taurus (hybrid cattle). RNAcentral describes it as "lncRNA (ENSBIXG00000000168.1)". The record is from RNAcentral. Lineage: Eukaryota; Metazoa; Chordata; Mammalia; Artiodactyla; Bovidae.
CCAGGCUUUCCCGAAGGCCCCUCCCACCUCCACACCAGGACUGAGCACGCAGGCUGAGUGGGUUAGGUUUCUUUUCCUCAUUGCUAAAAAGCAAGCUUCCAAGAAUAUUUCUGACUAAACUGCAAAGUCAAAGAUAAAAUAAUUACUGAGCAAGUCUGUUAUUUUAUGCCAUUCCUUUCCUACGAGCUAAUCUACUUUGUGAAGUAGUCUAUGAUCUCGUGAAAUGGAAGAAAGAAACUGUCAACCCCAAACUCACAUUUCAUUCUAAGUUCUACAGAUUAGCUCAUUAGCCGCUCAAAUCUCCAUGGAGGACAAACCAGGACACCAGGCGCAGGGGAGCUGUGCAGGGCCGGCCGGAACGGGGAUCUUUUCUUUAAAGGCCUGUGGUGCCGAUCAUUCUUAAAAAGUAUCAGUCUUAAACUGAAAUUAAAACUCAUGCACACAGAGCGCUUAGAGGCUUUCUAACUAAGGCCUUUACUGCAAGGCGCAUGCUGUAAAUGCGUCUUGGGGGCUUAGUUUUGGCUGCUUUCUGCUUCCCCCCAACCCACGCUGCGGUCCCUCACCAAGUCCAGCCCACUGGAGAGCAUCACAGAUGUCUUUUGGACCAAGUCUUCUGAUCUCAGAUGCUGAUCCUACAAGUGUCUGUAUCCCACGUCUGGCUUGGCGACUGCUUUCGAGAAGCCCAAUCAACAACGUUUGCUGGUGCAUGAGUGUGUGUGUGUGUGUGUGUGCACAUGUGUAAGUGUGUGAGCAAGCAUGUCACUGUGUGUGUUUGCAACCAUGUGUGUCAGUGCAUGUGUGAGUGAAAACAGAGGAGCAAAUUUAACUCCACAGAAUUACAUCUUCAGCGAACCAGCUUGGCUGCAGAUUCUUUACUGUCUGUGCCACCAGGGAAGCCCAUCAUUGACUUAACGGACAUGAAUCUGAGCAAACUUCUGGAGAUGGUGAAGGACAGGGAAGCCUGGUGUGCUACCGUCUGUGGGUUGCAGAGCGUCGGACCUGCCUGAGCGACUGAACAACAACAAUUACAUGUGCAGCACUGGGCAGCCAUCACCUCUCUGUUGCCAAAGCUUGUUCUUCACCCCAAGCAGAAACUGUGCCUAAAACCAGAAACUUCAGCUGAAGUUACUAAGCAGUUACUUCACACUCUGCUCCUCCAGGCUCUGUAACCCCUCACCUUUCUGUGUCCACGCAUUUGGCUGUUUCAGAUAUGUCACGUACGCUGAUCAUGCAGCGUUCGUCCUUUCGUGACUGGCUUGUUUCACUGAGCACAACGCCUUUAAGGCUCAUCCGUGUUACAGCCUGAGUGAGAACUCCCUCCCGAUCUGGGCUCCGGGGUGUGGAUGGACACACUGCUUACCCUGCACCUGCCGAGGGACAGUCGUGUGGGUCACCUG